GGGCGUGUAGCUCAGUUGGGAGAGCGCUAGAAUCGCACUCUAGAGGCCAGGGGUUCGAAUCCCCUCACGUCCACCA
RNAcentral lists this transfer RNA (76 nucleotides) under Neomoorella thermoacetica. RNAcentral describes it as "tRNA-Ala". It matches the Rfam family "tRNA". Rfam says of the family: Transfer RNA (tRNA) molecules are approximately 80 nucleotides in length. Their secondary structure includes four short double-helical elements and three loops (D, anti-codon, and T loops). Lineage: Bacteria; Bacillati; Bacillota; Clostridia; Neomoorellales; Neomoorellaceae. RNAcentral also lists the same sequence under 17 other names. The record is from RNAcentral.